RNAcentral lists this transfer RNA (65 nucleotides) under Ricania speculum. RNAcentral describes it as "tRNA-Pro". Lineage: Eukaryota; Metazoa; Arthropoda; Insecta; Hemiptera; Ricaniidae. The record is from RNAcentral.
CAGUAAGUAUUUUAAUUAAGAAUAUUAGUUUUGGAGACUAAAGAUGAGUUUAUUUUCUUUACUGA